This is a microRNA precursor of Astyanax mexicanus (Mexican tetra), 57 nucleotides long. Ensembl annotates it as microRNA 100. Its record names the gene MIR100. The record is from Ensembl. Lineage: Eukaryota; Metazoa; Chordata; Actinopteri; Characiformes; Acestrorhamphidae.
AACCCGUAGAUCCGAACUUGUGGUGACUGUCCACACAAGCUUGUAUCUAUAGGUAUC